Molecule: long non-coding RNA, 3433 nt
Organism: Oncorhynchus nerka (sockeye salmon)
Lineage: Eukaryota; Metazoa; Chordata; Actinopteri; Salmoniformes; Salmonidae
Exons: 3
Source: RefSeq, a predicted model, not a curated record
GAAACUGCUGUGGAAAACUCGGCCGGAAGUGUCAAGUGAAUCCAUAACAUCACCACAAACGUCUUUUCAAGACAGAUUGGAGAAGGACAAAUGAAGGGAGUAAAAAGAGUGAAGCGAGGAGAGUGUGGAAGAGUGAGGUGGAAAGGUGAAGAGAAGGAAAGGAAGAAAGAUCUGGAAGAUGAUUGGAGGAGAAGAAAAAGUUGAGAGUAAGAAGAGUGACACAAGGAGAGUGAAGAAGAGCAGACAGAGGAGGAACAAUGGCUAUUUCCUAGAAACAGAAAUGCCAUUUUAAUGACAACAUGAUGAGAUAAUUUCCAUUCAUUCGCUCAGGCCAAGACGAUAGAAUGGUUCACUGCACCCUUUGUCAUUCCUCUCUUUCAAUUGGCAGCCGGAGAAGAACGGCAGUGGUAGAACAUCAGACUAAAAAGCAUAAAGCCUCUCUGAUUGGCCGUGUUGGUUUGCCCUCUGUCACCACAUUCUUCAAGAAGGUAGAGCCUUCCCAAGAAGAAUAUAGUUUAGCUGUACAGGAGGGUGUCUUUGUACACCACACUAUGCGACACAAUCAUAGUUACAGAUCUAUGGACUGCACAGCACAACUGACACGGAAGCUUUAUGAGCCGAAGUGUACAUGUGCUAGGACAAAAUGUGACGUCACAGUGAGUAACGUGUUAGCAACAUGGGCAACUACUUUGGUACCACAGGAGCGAGACCAGGUUGAAUUUGUGUCCCUGUCCAUUGAUGCGUCCAAUCAUGGACAUGUAAAGCUGCUGCCAAUAGUAGUCAGAUAUUGUAAGAUAUAUGGUGGCAACACAUCUGUGGAAACAAAACUGCUUGAUUGUGUUGAAUUGAAAGCAGAAACAGCAGAGGAGAUUGCAGCUGAGGUCCUGGUGGUCAUCCAAAAAUGUAACCUGGAAAACAAAGUCGUGGCAUUCUCUGCCGAAAACACACAUACCUUCUUUGAAUCAUUCUUCACUGCGGCUGUGAACUACUUGCAGGCAUUGGGAAAGCACACAGAUAAUCUAAAAGAUGUACUUUGUCUCCUUUUAAAAAGGCAACCUCAGCGUGAAGAGAUCCAGAAGGCAGCAGCCACACUGCAGGAAAAAUGCCCCCAUGUGACCAUCAAUGAGGAUGCAUUGUUUGACGAGGUUACUGGCCUGCAAGAGUUCCUAAAGGGGGGGAUCGCUUGAAGAAUGGAAAACAUUGGAGACACCGCUUAGUCAGAGAUGGAGUUACCCACUUCAAAGAGAACCACAUCCCACACACUAACCUGGCUAGAUUAGCGUCUGUUGUCAUGUGCUGACCUGGAAGUAAUACACCAGUCGAGAGAGUGUUCUCCCAAAUGAAUGAUAUAUGGACAGCAGCAAGAAAUAGGUUCACUGUUCCUGCCAUCAAGGCCAUGCUUAUUGUGAAGACAAACUUCAACCUCCCCUGCCAGGAGUAUAUAAUAGAUAAUAACAUUGGAUAUUUAAUGAUAUAUUGAUAUUAUAUAUAAUAGAUAAUAACAUUGGAUAUUGUAAUGAUAUAUUGACCUCCGACCUGUAAAUGUCCCCGGUUUUAAUUUCAGAAAUCUGGUCACCUUAACUUAAAAUCCCAUGACUAAUGUACUGAUGUAGCUCCAUGGGAGGAGUGAAACCCGCAGACACUCGGCUCACCGUGGAAUGAGUUGGACACAUGCUAGUGUAUGUUUACAUUUACUCUGUUUACAAACAUUGGAGUAGAACAAAAACAUCAAUUUUGGGAUCUGAUGGGGCAGUUGAACUAUAUUCAUGAGGCAUUUAUAAAUGAUAUUCUUCAAGCAUCCACAAGUGGAUGUAUCAACUGCAGAUUGGCCAUUUAAAGGGAUCGGACCUGGUCAUGUGACCUGGUCAUGUGACCGGGCAAAAGCAGUAACAGAGGAGCGCCCUUCUCCAAUCUGUACCACAUGAUCACAUUGUCAACAAGGAAGAAACAUAAACCUUUAUUUUCCAUAAAAUGUUCAAACUAUUUUUCCUUAUGAAGGCAGAUAAAGCACAUCUACAAAACAAAUGGAAUCACUUUCCACCCAAUGCAAACUGCACCCACCCAAACGAACAGCGUCAGUCUGGGACAGAUUCCUCGUCAUCAGAGCUGUAGUGGAUGAUGUCAUCUAGGUCCUCUUCCAGGAGGUCAUCUAUGAAGUUAUCUUCUAGGAGGGAGGUGUCUUGGCCCUUAGCUUUGCUGUAUACCAGUUUGACAGAGUCCUGGUGUCCUGCUGACUCUCCUCUGAAGCAUGGAGAAGAGACCUCUGCUCCCAGCUCCCGACUGAUUAAAUUGCCAACCUGACACCAACAAUCGUAAUGUGUCGGGUAAAUACAAUGAAGUAUUCCUUAAAUACAAUAUCAAUUACAAGGUGCCAACAUCAAUACAUAUUAAUGAACGUUCCCCUACUACUAAUACAAUGACGUAUUCCUUAAAUACAAUAUCAAUUACAGGGUGCCAACAUCAAUACAUAUUAAUGAACGUUCCCCUACUUUGCCUGCUUAGGUCAGGUGCCACAUGUGAAGCAAGGUCUUGCACAUUCUCCGAUCCCCUCUUUAGGCUUUCCCAGUGCUGCUGGACUUCCUUUAGGACAAUUACCUCUUCCUCCUUCAGCCGUCUCAGGAGCAUCACCCGGUCAAAGGCUAUUGUCUUUCUCCCGAGGCCGUGCAGCUCCCGAGGCCACUCAGCUCCCGAGGCCACGCAGCUCCCGAGGCCACUCAGCUCCCGAGGCCACUCAGCUCCCGAGGCCACUCAGCUCCCGAGGCCACUCAGCUCCCGAGGCCACUCAGCUCCCAGGGCCACUCAGCUCCCAAGGCCACUCAGCUCCCAGGGCCACUCAGCUCCCAGGGCCACUCAGCUCCCAGGGCCACUCAGCUCCCAAGGCCACGCAGCUCCCAAGGCCACGUAGCUCCCAAGGCCGCGCAGCUCCCAGGGCCACUCAGCUCCCGAGGCCACUCGGCUCCCGAGGCCACUCGGCUCCCGGGGCCACUCGGCUCCCAGGACCACUCAGCUCCCAAGGCCACUCAGCUCCCAAGGCCACUCAGCUCCCGAGGCCGUGCAGGAAGGUCUGCAGAAAGGAUCUCAUCUGCAGAUGGUUUUGCUGAAUCUGGUACAAGGGUGUUGUACUCCUCUGUGGCAGCUGUCAAUUUGGCCUUUUCUUCCCAUAUCUUUCUGCACAGAGGGUCUUUUCUUUCAUCCUUCUGUCAUCAAAACAAAAGGAGAAUGGAAUUAUUUGUUAAAUUGCAAGGCUUUGAAAUGAAAGAGAAAUGAAGUGUGUGCAAUUCAAUAUUGAUGAAAUGUACCUGUCUGACGGUAGAGGUUCUGUUUCCUUUGUUUGGUGCUGAGAAACAGGACUUCAAUUGUUCUCUGUAGUACCUGAGGACCAUCCAUGUUCUCAUCGUUUCCUCUGAAAUACAAUAAAUCUAUAAAUGAUCAA